AGAACCUCUUCAGACUUCAGAAACUCUUCAGAAAGCUUCACUUUCAUUCAAAAAGGCACCUUACAUGAAAUACUUCUUGGAAAUGUCUGCAUACACACAGCUAAAACCACAACCACAACAGCAAGGCUACCAAAUGGAAAGUCGUGGUACAGAUUUGGGCUCUGUCCCCCAAGAACUUCGUUCACCAUGUAAUAGACUUAGGGUCCUAGUGAAGAAAACGUAGUUUGCCUGUAAUUAAUUGAAAGCAGUUAUUAGGUCAUCAUCAGCCACGGAGCAAAUAAUUGCAGCAGAUUUUUACUUAAAAUUGACCAGCCCUGGAGUGAUAGAUCGAUUGGAGGUAUAAAAAAUGAUGUAUCAAAACAUCAAUGUCGAUUAUUUGAAAUAUUGUAGUCGAAUUUUUUUAUUGCUUCAUCGGUUAAGUGUCUGAAAGUGCGGUGUUCAAAC
RNAcentral lists this long non-coding RNA (444 nucleotides) under Vombatus ursinus (common wombat). Its description in RNAcentral is "lncRNA (ENSVURG00010008569.1)". The record is from RNAcentral. Lineage: Eukaryota; Metazoa; Chordata; Mammalia; Diprotodontia; Vombatidae.